UUCCGGUUGAUCCUGCCGGAGGCCAUUGCUAUCGGAGUCCGAUUUAGCCAUGCUAGUCGCACGGGUUCAGACCCGUGGCGAAUAGCUCCGUAACACGUGGCCAAACUACCCUACAGAGAGCCAUAACCACGGGAAACUGUGGCUAAUAGCUCAUACGCGACACACGCUGGAAUGCCAUGUCGUCGAAAUGCUCCGGCGCCAUAGGAUGCGGCUGCGGUCGAUUAGGUAGACGGUGGGGUAACGGCCCACCGUGCCGAUAAUCGGUACGGGUCGUGAGAGCGAGAGCCCGGAGAUGGAUUCUGAGACAAGAAUCCAGGCCCUACGGGGCGCAGCAGGCGCGAAAACUUUACACUGCACGAAAGUGCGAUAAGGGGACUCCGAGUGUGUGGGCAUAGAGCCCACACUUUUGUGUACCGUAAGGUGGUACACGAAUAAGAGCUGGGCAAGACCGGUGCCAGCCGCCGCGGUAAUACCGGCAGCUCAAGUGAUGGCCGAUCUUAUUGGGCCUAAAGCGUCCGUAGCCGGCCGGGCAAGUCCGUUGGGAAAUCUGUUCGCUUAACGAACAGGCGUCCAGCGGAAACUGCUCGGCUUGGGACCGAAAGACCUGAGGGGUACGUCCGGGGUAGGAGUGAAAUCCUGUAAUCCUGGACGGACCGCCGAUGGGGAAACCACCUCAGGAGGACGGAUCCGACGGUGAGGGACGAAAGCUAGGGUCUCGAACCGGAUUAGAUACCCGGGUAGUCCUAGCUGUAAACGAUGUCUGCUAGGUGUGGCACAGGCUACGAGCCUGUGCUGUGCCGUAGGGAAGCCGAGAAGCAGACCGCCUGGGAAGUACGUCCGCAAGGAUGAAACUUAAAGGAAUUGGCGGGGGAGCACUACAACCGGAGGAGCCUGCGGUUUAAUUGGACUCAACGCCGGU
This 919-nucleotide ribosomal RNA is filed under the name uncultured archaeon. RNAcentral's name for it is "bacterial SSU rRNA". It matches the Rfam family "Archaeal small subunit ribosomal RNA", at positions 1 to 922 of the family's 1478-position model. The record is from RNAcentral.